UACGGAGGGGGCGAGCGUUGUUCGGAAUUACUGGGCGUAAAGCGCACGUAGGCGGCGUGUCGAGUUAGGGGUGAAAGGCCUGGGCUUAACCUGGGAACUGCCUUUAAUACUGACAUGCUGGAGUCCGGGAGGGGGUGGCGGAAUUCCCAGUGUAGAGGUGAAAUUCGUAGAUAUUGGGAAGAACACCGGUGGCGAAGGCGGCCACCUGGCCCGGAACUGACGCUGAGGUGCGAAAGCGUGGGGAGCAAACAGG
RNAcentral lists this ribosomal RNA (253 nucleotides) under uncultured bacterium. RNAcentral describes it as "partial 16S ribosomal RNA". It matches the Rfam family "Bacterial small subunit ribosomal RNA", at positions 524 to 776 of the family's 1533-position model. The record is from RNAcentral.